RNAcentral lists this ribosomal RNA (497 nucleotides) under uncultured bacterium. Its description in RNAcentral is "partial 16S ribosomal RNA". It matches the Rfam family "Bacterial small subunit ribosomal RNA", at positions 28 to 507 of the family's 1533-position model. The record is from RNAcentral.
GAUGAACGCUGGCGGCGUGCCUAAUACAUGCAAGUCGAGCGAACAGAUGAGGAGCUUGCUCCUCUGACGUUAGCGGCGGACGGGUGAGUAACACGUGGAUAACCUACCUAUAAGACUGGGAUAACUUCGGGAAACCGGAGCUAAUACCGGAUAAUAUAUUGAACCGCAUGGUUCAAUAGUGAAAGACGGUUUUGCUGUCACUUAUAGAUGGAUCCGCGCCGCAUUAGCUAGUUGGUAAGGUAACGGCUUACCAAGGCAACGAUGCGUAGCCGACCUGAGAGGGUGAUCGGCCACACUGGAACUGAGACACGGUCCAGACUCCUACGGGAGGCAGCAGUAGGGAAUCUUCCGCAAUGGGCGAAAGCCUGACGGAGCGACGCCGCGUGAGUGAUGAAGGUCUUCGGAUCGUAAAACUCUGUUAUUAGGGAAGAACAAAUGUGUAAGUAACUAUGCACGUCUUGACGGUACCUAAUCAGAAAGCCACGGCUAACUACGUG